This 74-nucleotide transfer RNA is filed under the name Kiritimatiellaceae bacterium. Its description in RNAcentral is "tRNA-Cys". It matches the Rfam family "tRNA". From Rfam's summary of the family: Transfer RNA (tRNA) molecules are approximately 80 nucleotides in length. The record is from RNAcentral. Lineage: Bacteria; Pseudomonadati; Kiritimatiellota; Kiritimatiellia; Kiritimatiellales; Kiritimatiellaceae. RNAcentral also lists the same sequence under 12 other names.
GGUGCGGUAGCCAAGCGGUUAGGCAGUGGAUUGCAAAUCCAUCUAGAUCGGUUCGACUCCGAUCCGCACCUCCA